UUAACUCAAAUUUGUAUGGAGUUGGAACGUUAGCCUAGGUUUGCCGCUAGGGGCGCUGUUCCAACUGUACACAGAUGCAUGGUA
Molecule: microRNA precursor, 84 nt
Filed under: Bombyx mori (domestic silkworm)
Lineage: Eukaryota; Metazoa; Arthropoda; Insecta; Lepidoptera; Bombycidae
Description: mir-2807 microRNA precursor family
Rfam family: mir-2807 microRNA precursor family
Source: Rfam by way of RNAcentral